UUACUGACGUAACGGCCUGCUCCUAGUA
RNAcentral lists this small RNA (28 nucleotides) under Bombyx mori (domestic silkworm). RNAcentral's name for it is "ovarian small RNA-36640". The record is from RNAcentral. Lineage: Eukaryota; Metazoa; Arthropoda; Insecta; Lepidoptera; Bombycidae.